AGAGUUUGAUCCUGGCUUAGAUUGAACGCUGGCGGCAGGCCUAACACAUGCAAGUCGAGCGGUAGCACAGAGAGCUUGCUCUCGGGUGACGAGCGGCGGACGGGUGAGUAAUGUCUGGGAAACUGCCUGAUGGAGGGGGAUAACUACUGGAAACGGUAGCUAAUACCGCAUAACGUCGCAAGACCAAAGUGGGGGACCUUCGGGCCUCAUGCCAUCAGAUGUGCCCAGAUGGGAUUAGCUAGUAGGUGGGGUAACGGCUCACCUAGGCGACGAUCCCUAGCUGGUCUGAGAGGAUGACCAGCCACACUGGAACUGAGACACGGUCCAGACUCCUACGGGAGGCAGCAGUGGGGAAUAUUGCACAAUGGGCGCAAGCCUGAUGCAGCCAUGCCGCGUGUAUGAAGAAGGCCUUCGGGUUGUAAAGUACUUUCAGCGGGGAGGAAGGCGAUAAGGUUAAUAACCUUGUCGAUUGACGUUACCCGCAGAAGAAGCACCGGCUAACUCCGUGCCAGCAGCCGCGGUAAUACGGAGGGUGCAAGCGUUAAUCGGAAUUACUGGGCGUAAAGCGCACGCAGGCGGUCUGUCAAGUCGGAUGUGAAAUCCCCGGGGCUCAACCUGGGAACUGCAUUCGAAACUGGCAGGCUAGAGUCUUGUAGAGGGGGGUAGAAUUCCAGGUGUAGCGGUGAAAUGCGUAGAGAUCUGGAGGAAUACCGGUGGCGAAGGCGGCCCCCUGGACAAAGACUGACGCUCAGGUGCGAAAGCGUGGGGAGCAAACAGGAUUAGAUACCCUGGUAGUCCACGCCGUAAACGAUGUCGAUUUGGAGGUUGUGCCCUUGAGGCGUGGCUUCCGGAGCUAACGCGUUAAAUCGACCGCCUGGGGAGUACGGCCGCAAGGUUAAAACUCAAAUGAAUUGACGGGGGCCCGCACAAGCGGUGGAGCAUGUGGUUUAAUUCGAUGCAACGCGAAGAACCUUACCUGGUCUUGACAUCCACAGAACUUAGCAGAGAUGCUUUGGUGCCUUCGGGAACUGUGAGACAGGUGCUGCAUGGCUGUCGUCAGCUCGUGUUGUGAAAUGUUGGGUUAAGUCCCGCAACGAGCGCAACCCUUAUCCUUUGUUGCCAGCGGUUAGGCCGGGAACUCAAAGGAGACUGCCAGUGAUAAACUGGAGGAAGGUGGGGAUGACGUCAAGUCAUCAUGGCCCUUACGACCAGGGCUACACACGUGCUACAAUGGCAUAUACAAAGAGAAGCGACCUCGCGAGAGCAAGCGGACCUCAUAAAGUAUGUCGUAGUCCGGAUUGGAGUCUGCAACUCGACUCCAUGAAGUCGGAAUCGCUAGUAAUCGUAGAUCAGAAUGCUACGGUGAAUACGUUCCCGGGCCUUGUACACACCGCCCGUCACACCAUGGGAGUGGGUUGCAAAAGAAGUAGGUAGCUUAACCUUCGGGAGGGCGCUUACCACUUUGUGAUUCAUGACUGGGGUGAAGUCGUAACAAGGUAACCGU
Molecule: ribosomal RNA, 1504 nt
Filed under: Klebsiella pneumoniae
Lineage: Bacteria; Pseudomonadati; Pseudomonadota; Gammaproteobacteria; Enterobacterales; Enterobacteriaceae
Description: bacterial SSU rRNA
Rfam family: Bacterial small subunit ribosomal RNA
Source: RNAcentral